GCUCGGGGAGAAGAGCAAGAAUCCCCUUUUAGAAAGCAAUUACACAUGCAAGUCACAUCCGUUCAAGCCAAACUGUGAGCCAGCUCCCGUAGCUGAUAAAACAGCUCUGCAGUACUCCAGGAGGGAGAAAGAUAAUACAGGAUUUCUAGGCCAGCUCCUUGGCGGAUGUGAAUGGGUAUCAGAAUGGUGAAGAAAGUGCAGUGGCACCGAUUUCCACCAGAGGAGGAUCCGGCCUGUUUAAUCUGUUUGGAACUACCACUCAACUUCAAAGUGUAAUGGAACCACACAGCAGUGUUUGCAGAGUCCCUGAGCUGGGUCCAGGCACUCUUUGAGGCACAGAUUACAGAGCUGCUGGAGGACUAGCUGGCUCCAGCACAGAGCCUGAGGGAUGCAGCAGGGACCAACCCCGUGGGAGAUACCUGCAUGUCAGACCAGGCAAGAAAGUUGAAACUAGCAUCAAAUAAAGGUGUUCUAGGCACUGCACCCCACCACCCCACACGCUGGAGAGCACCACCAUUGCCUUGAAGAGCUUAGAAUCUCAGCAUUUGCCCCAGUGACAACUUGAUGAACAUCACUAAAUGCAUUUCACAUGGGCAACGAAUUGGGUCACUCGUUCGUACUGGUCUGGAUUUGAGUGGACACCGUAUAGGAGCAUCGUAUAGCCGAUCUGCAAACCAGCCCCAGUUUUUCUAUUUAUCUUAAUGCAGAAGACAUUCUAAAAAAAACCCAACAGCUGUUUCAUUGAUCUGACCUUUUCUGAGAAACAGUCAUUGAAGCCUGAAGAAUAAAUUAUAGGCGCAGUCUUGCCUGGAAUGGGGAAGGGCUGGGGGGUGAGUGAGCUGGUGGGCCUUUUGUAUCACUGAUUUCUAUGAUGAUUUUACAGUCAUGGUCUGCGAAGGCCACCAGUGUGUUGCAAAAUGUCCAUCCAACCAUCCAUAGUGACACCUUGGCGCUCGUCAUUUAGAUCUCUGCAUCACAUUGUCACUGUUCCUGCCUUUCUCCCCAUGUUGAGGCUAAUUUCUCCAUUGAUUGGUUCUUACUUGGUUUAAAAAUAGCCAGUUUGUAGCACAGAAGGGUAAAAUUAGCAGCUCGCACUUGCUUUUACACAGAUUUACAGCUGUUAUGGAAGAGAGAUGUCGGGUCUCUCACAGCCUCACUACUUGCACUAAACUGCUACCUUCUUCCGGAGCCUUCUCCCCAAGUCCUGAUGAUUUGACUUCAUAUUGGCUUCUUUCAUCUUAAGACUGAUUUUAAAACAUACUGUGAUGCUCUGUACCUCGGGGGAACACCCAGCACCCCCAUGUUCAUCCUUGUAAAAUGAUUGUGUGGUAUCUAAUUCUAAGUUUGUCAUGUCGAGUGUCUUUGAAAGGCUCAUGAUGCACUGAGCAUUGUUGUUACAGUGACGUUAUAGUAAUGUUAUCAAUUAUAAUUUCCUGUAUGUAGUUAUGAAGCUGAAAAUGUAUCCUCAUGGCUUAAAAUAAAUCCAAGCAAAAAUUCUCCAAGAGCGGAGAGGCAGUUCACACCUCAUCAGGGAAGGUAUGGGACAAAUCCAGCCCAGCCUCACAGGAACAAAGGGCGCUGGCCUAGGCAGCAAUAAAAGGAUCUGUUGGACUC
Mauremys mutica (yellowpond turtle) is the source of this 1614-nucleotide long non-coding RNA. RefSeq lists it as uncharacterized. The record is from RefSeq and is a predicted model, not a curated record. The transcript is spliced from 4 exons. Lineage: Eukaryota; Metazoa; Chordata; Testudines; Geoemydidae.